Molecule: ribosomal RNA, 468 nt
Filed under: uncultured bacterium
Lineage: Bacteria
Description: partial 16S ribosomal RNA
Rfam family: Bacterial small subunit ribosomal RNA
Source: RNAcentral
GACGAACGCUGGCGGCGUGCUUAACACAUGCAAGUCGAACGGUGAAGCUCCAGCUUGCUGGAGUGGAUCAGUGGCGAACGGGUGAGUAACACGUGAGCAACCUGCCCCAGACUCUGGAAUAAGCGCUGGAAACGGCGUCUAAUACUGGAUACGAGAUCAAGCCGCAUGGUUAUGGUCUGGAAAGUUUUUCGGUUUGGGAUGGGCUCGCGGCCUAUCAGCUUGUUGGUGAGGUAAUGGCUCACCAAGGCGACGACGGGUAGCCGGCCUGAGAGGGCGACCGGCCACACUGGGACUGAGAAACGGCCCAGACUCCUACGGGAGGCAGCAGUGGGGAAUAUUGCACAAUGGGCGAAAGCCUGAUGCAGCGACGCCGCGUGAGGGAUGACGGCCUUCGGGUUGUAAACCUCUUUCAGCAGGGAAGAAGCGAAAGUGACGGUACCUGCAGAAGAAGCACCGGCUAACUACGUG